GAUGAACGCUGGCGGCGUGCCUAAUACAUGCAAGUAGAACGCUGAAGGAGGAGCUUGCUCUUUCCGGAUGAGUUGCGAACGGGUGAGUAACGCGUAGGUAACCUGCCUGGUAGCGGGGGAUAACUAUUGGAAACGAUAGCUAAUACCGCAUAACAGUAGAUAUUGCAUGAUAUUUGCUUGAAAGGGGCAAUUGCUCCACUACCAGAUGGACCUGCGUUGUAUUAGCUAGUUGGUGAGGUAACGGCCCACCAAGGCGACGAUACAUAGCCGACCUGAGAGGGUGAUCGGCCACACUGGGACUGAGACACGGCCCAGACUCCUACGGGAGGCAGCAGUAGGGAAUCUUCGGCAAUGGACGGAAGUCUGACCGAGCAACGCCGCGUGAGUGAAGAAGGUUUUCGGAUCGUAAAGCUCUGUUGUAAGAGAAGAACGAGUGUGAGAGUGGAAAGUUCACACUGUGACGGUAUCUUACCAGAAAGGGACGGCUAACUACGUG
This 496-nucleotide ribosomal RNA is filed under the name uncultured bacterium. RNAcentral describes it as "partial 16S ribosomal RNA". It matches the Rfam family "Bacterial small subunit ribosomal RNA", at positions 28 to 507 of the family's 1533-position model. The record is from RNAcentral.